RNAcentral lists this long non-coding RNA (4641 nucleotides) under Capra hircus (goat). Its description in RNAcentral is "lncRNA (ENSCHIG00010015771.1)". Lineage: Eukaryota; Metazoa; Chordata; Mammalia; Artiodactyla; Bovidae. The record is from RNAcentral.
AUGGAAAGAAGGCCCAAAUUACCCAGUGGGACUCCCUGCAGAAACAGAAAACCAACGUCUUUCGGCAGUCUGAUUGAAUGCUGUAAGGACUCACAUUCUGUAAUGGUCACCCCUCCUGAGGACACCUUUUCCAGCAUUCUUAACAUGGAGCUAUACUUCUUCCCGGAGUUUUAUUGUGUCCCUGGCCCACGCAUGCUGGACCGUGUUGCACAGGGUUUCCAUCGGAACUCAAAGCUGCAUGAGAUGCUGGGAGGAUAUUUAUUUGAAGUUGCACAGAUGUUUACAGUAAGAGAGCCUGAGACACGGGCAUCGGAGCACACAGCUAACCUUCUGCAGAGGGGCUGCCCGGCCUUAAUGGGUUCCAUGUGCUCCGGUNNNNNNNNNNNNNNNNNNNNNNNNNNNNNNNNNNNNNNNNNNNNNNNNNNNNNNNNNNNNNNNNNNNNNNNNNNNNNNNNNNNNNNNNNNNNNNNNNNNCUUCUGCAGAGGGGCUGCCCGGCCUUAAUGGGUUCCAUGUGCUCCGGUCUCUUUAACAGCAACAAACAGGCUGCCUCAUACGGCCGCUUACUUGGACAUUAAAUAAUGAGUCUCCCUAAGAUCCUUGUCCCACACCUCAAGACUUCAGUUCCAGGAGAAAGUGACUUAGAGCGAUACAUCAUGAGAAGCAAGCAUGACCCUCCAUCUGAAAUCUCACAGCAUCCGGUGUGCACACACACAUGCAUGUGCCCGCGCACACACGCAUUCGAACACACGUGUGCCAGACCUCAAUGUGUGCAGGGCUACUCCACAGAAGCUGUACAUAUAGAGCCUCAAAAGACUUGACAGUAGCUUUCCCUCAUGAAACUAAAUGCAUUUUAAUUUUUUUAAUUGAAAAAGCAACAGUGCACAUAAUACAAAAUCCAAGAGAAUCAAAGGGUAAAGAAUUAAGGAGAGUCCCCCCUCCUGGGGGCAGGCGCUGCUACCAGUGGUAUAUCCUUCCAGAUAUUUAAAAUCAUAUAUACACAUAUACACUCUGUUAUACUUUUCCAUUUGCAGUGAAACAUGCAUCUUGGACAUCUGUAAUUUGCUCUGAUGUACACCCAGAUUUUAAGAUACCUGGAAGAAUGGAUAGACAUACAUGAUAAAGCCAGUCAAGUAAAAAAAUGUAAAAGGUAGAAUCUAGGCUGUGGAUGGGUUUACAGGUAAAAUUCUUUAAAUUCUGCCGUAUGUAUGACAGUUUUCAAAAUAAAAUGCUGGCAAACUAUAUAUCUCAGUGCCCAUCUUAUAUCAUAUCCUGUUACUUAUAUUCUUACAUAUGAUAGUAUUUAUGUAGAACUACCUCCUGCUUUUUUAAGGGGGGCCCUGUGACUUCCAAGAAACACGUUUCUCUCUGGAAGGACUUUUCUGUGUCUAGUCCUUCCUUCAGCAAACAGUGCCACAGUGAACAUGCUGCAUACGUCUUUAUACAAUAAUAUCCUUCACUUACAUCUUGGUGGGAUACAGCAGAAAUGUUAGCUGAAAGGGUUUUGUUCAGUUGACAAAAUGGUAAAUAUCCAAAUUAUUCUUCCAAAAGAUUAUAUGCAUUUUCCUUCUCCCACAGCAACGUGGGAGUGAGCCCCUGACGUGGACUGGCUGUCAGAGCCUUGGUAAUACAGAACCACAGUCAGCAACCCCCUCCUCUUGCUUAUUUAGCGAGGCCUCAGCCCAUCUCCAUGCGUCUAAAAUAGGAUACAGACGUGAAAGUGUAUGAAUCCCCGUAGUCAUCUGGCCUUUUUUUGUCUUUUUACUUUAAAUCUCUGGAUGACAGAAAAUAGGUGUUAAAUUCCUGGGAUCAGAGUCCUUUCGAUUCAGCUAGACUGACAGCCACAUUUGAUGGAUGGGAAAACCGAAGCCCAGAGUUGGAAAGGGACCAGCCCAAGUUCACAUGGUCACUUCCUGGCUGAACCCCACUGACGAAGGCAGGGAGUGAUUUAAAACUUGGCUCUGUGUUUGGACUGCAGAAGCCUGCUCUGCUGGUAUCCCCGUUACCUGAGGAUGCUCGCAGAGCCUGGCGGCCAGGACAGGGAGGUGCUGUGACCGCGGAUUGUCUGUGUUUAGCUCCCACAGAGCACGGCGGAGGUGGCUGGCUGCAGCAUGCAGCUCGUUAGAUAAUGACCAGAGAACGCUGAAAAUGUCCUUUUGGGUUUUGGCUGAAUAAUAUUUAAGGAUUUUGAAACAGUGACUUAAUNNNNNNNNNNNNNNNNNNNNNNNNNNNNNNNNNNNNNNNNNNNNNNNNNNNNNNNNNNNNNNNNNNNNNNNNNNNNNNNNNNNNNNNNNNNNNNNNNNNUGGGUUUUGGCUGAAUAAUAUUUAAGGAUUUUGAAACAGUGACUUAAUUGUGUUUUUAUGUAAUUGAUGGCGUUGUCGUAAAAUGUAUUGAGACACCACAUCAGCAUUUUUCUCUAACUGUUCCUUGGAGAAAAAUAUGCUCAUAUGAAAAUAGUUUCUUCACUUUCCACUCAUGGAAUUGAAAAAAAAGAUAUUGUGCUUCCAUGAAAUCACUGAGCCCAGAGAUUGUCUCAUUUUAAAGUGUCUUCCCCUCCGGACUUGUCCUAAAUAAUGCAAGGCUCUCUCCUCACCCUUCGGGUUGGGUUGGCCCUUGUUUUGGAAGCGAUGCACGGAGAGGGCCUCGGGAAGUUGGUGCAGGACGCUGUCUGGGAAGUGCCCUGUCCAGAUGGGUCAGCAUGGGGCAGGCAGAGGAGCCCUGCACCUCCCCCCUUGACAUCCCUGCUCACUGGGCGCCAGGCCUCUGUUCCCAGUUUGCAACGUGGUGGAGGAAAGUGCUCCCAAUUGCUGCACGGGAACAGCUUCAGUUUCCAGAAGUUGUGUCUGAACUUAAAGCCCCUGUUAUUUCACGUUGGCAUCAGAGAAAUCAGGGCAUUUAAAUAAAUUAUAUUCGUUUUCCUCGCCUUGGCACCGCUGUUUGUAUUGGGGAGGGGUGUGUGCAGUUGAAGUCAACUGUAAGAAUUAAUUUUGGUCCAGAUCUUGCUACUGGAGUUUUCACUCUGAAGAGUCAAAUUGUAAACAUUAAAAAUAAAAAUUCAGACAGUUGCUUUCUAAUUAUAGAAAACUCACAGGUCUACUAAAUUAAAAAAAAAUAAUAGUAAUGCUUUAAAAGCACCGUUGGCUGCCUUCCUAGUGGCCUGGAUCCCAUGCAGUAGGCCAGCCUGUGCGUGUGUGUGUGUGUGUGUGUAGCGACUCCAGGGGCUGGCCUGUUCCAGUCGAUGCCCAACUAGAGAGCCGGCCUCCUCAAACUGUGACAUCCCUCGUAGCUUUGAUCCCUGCGCCCUUGUGGUUCCCUACCCCGAGGGCAGUGUGCUCCCUGGGGCAGAUCCUGCAGUGUGUGGAGAGGGUGCCCAGGAAGACACUGCAGCGUCUUCAGACCCCUCACAGCGGUCAGGGUGGGUGCUGUAGGUUCAAGGUUGGAACAGCAGCUGCUGCCUCCACCAUCUGGGAUAAAUACCCUUCCAGGGUGGGCGACAGCACUGGGGGUUAUUGCGGGCUCAGUCUUCAACCUUAAGGUGAGAACUGUGGCGGGACUGCCCCGCGUGUCCGGUGGGCGCAAGCCAGGCUCUCCCAGUGGCCUCGACCCAGAUGUUUCUUAGAGCUCAUCGUGGGUCUGCUAGUGUGAAGCUCACGAGCCAUUGUGCAUUGCCAAGAGCUUUAUAAAGGGUUCUUCAACAUUGGAUCCUUGCAGAGGUGGAAACACACACACACACACCAAAAAUCCAGAAAAAAAAAUAGUACAAAGAAAAAUGUGUAUUUGACUGAAUUAUGCUUUGUCUUUUUUCUUAAAUGGCAACACUCAUGAGUCUUGAGGUCUGAAAUAAAUUCAUAUUUCAUGUAAUUAAACCUAUUCACAGGAGUGCAGUAUUUAUUUUUCUAGGUUUUCAAAUAUUUCAAAUUAUUCAGUAGUGAAGGUUGCCAGUUGCCUUCCACAGAGGCUCAUGGUUGUGCUCUGCUCUGUAGAGCAGAGGGGUGGAUGGAUGGAUGGUAUCCGUGCAGUGCUAGGCUGAGGUGGGCACAGACUUCUCCCUGGAGAGGAGGACCUGGCCUUUGGUUCCGGGACUGGAUGGUCACCUUUGGGGGUAUCUCAGCACUUGCCAGCAGAAGGCUUGUUUAAAACAAUUUUCAUGUUAAGUUCUCAGCUUCCGUGUUGGAUGUAAAAAGCAGGUUGUCAAACACAACACAGAAAAAGCAGGUUGUCAAAUACAACACAAACCCAACACACUCACACACAUGAGAAAAUAAACAGUCUGUAUUGGAUAAUCCUGACCUGGCACCCUGACUACGGUCAGGACCAUUGCUUUUGCUGUACUGGGGUCUGUUUUACACACACAUCCUGGCACUGGUGGGUCUUCAUGCAGUUCUAAGGAGAGCGUGACCUUCCCAAUUAAGCUUGAUAAAGGUAACCAGAAGUGCACUCUAGAGGUGGACAGUUAAAAGGAAAGAAAAGAAAGAAAGGAAUCAUCUUUGGGGCAUUUCAGUAGUGAGCCAUUUGAUGACGUCAGGAGACGUGUCCAGGGAUGCUGCGAUAGGGCUUCCGCAGGGCGCCCUUGAGUGAGGUGCCCAGCUCUGCCUGUCUGCUAAGCAGCGGCCUUCGCCUUCCAGCACCAUCAUUACCUCUC